This 434-nucleotide ribosomal RNA is filed under the name uncultured bacterium. RNAcentral describes it as "partial 16S ribosomal RNA". It matches the Rfam family "Bacterial small subunit ribosomal RNA", at positions 29 to 507 of the family's 1533-position model. The record is from RNAcentral.
AGCGAACGCUGGCGGCAGGCCUAACACAUGCAAGUCGAACGAACCUUCCGGGGUUAGUGGCGGACGGGUGAGUAGCACGUGGGAACGUGCCUUUAAGUUCGGAAUUACUCAGGUAAACUUGUGCUAAUACCGAAAGUGCCACUCGGGGGCCAGAUUUGUCGCAUUUAGAACGGCACGCGUCCGAUUAGCCAGGUGGUUGUGGUAAUGGCGCACCAAGGCGACGAUCAGUAGCGGGUCUGAGAGGAUGAUCAGCCACAUUUGGACUGGGACACAGUGCAGACUACUACGGGAGGCGGGAGAGGGGGAUCUAGCGCAACGGGGGAGAGCCUGACGCCGCCAUGGCGGGUGAAUCAUGUUGUUCUUAGAGAAAUAAAAUUCUUUCACCGGGGACGAUAAUGACGGUACCCAAAGAAGAAGCCCCGGCUAACUUCGUG